RNAcentral lists this ribosomal RNA (441 nucleotides) under uncultured bacterium. Its description in RNAcentral is "bacterial SSU rRNA". It matches the Rfam family "Bacterial small subunit ribosomal RNA", at positions 958 to 1399 of the family's 1533-position model. The record is from RNAcentral.
AACGCGAAGAACCUUACCCAGGUUAGAAGUGUAGGGGACGAUAUUAGAGAUAGUAUUUUCCGCAAGGACCGCUACAUAGGUGCUGCAUGGCUGUCGUCAGCUCGUGCCGUGAGGUGUUGGGUUAAGUCCCGCAACGAGCGCAACCCUUAUCAUUAGUUGCCAGCGAGUAAGGUCGGGAACUCUAAUGAGACUGCCUAGGUGAACUAGGAGGAAGGUGAGGAUGACGUCAAGUCCGCAUGGCCUUUAUGCCUGGGGCUACACACGUGCUACAAUGGUCGGUACAGAAGGCAGCGAAACCGCGAGGUGGAGCAAAUCCCAAAAGCCGAUCUCAGUUCAGAUUGUAGUCUGCAACUCGACUACAUGAAGUUGGAAUUGCUAGUAAUGGCGUGUCAGCAAUAGCGCCGUGAAUACGUUCCCGGGCCUUGUACACACCGACUGUAC